This 431-nucleotide ribosomal RNA is filed under the name Acidobacteriota bacterium. RNAcentral's name for it is "Acidobacteria bacterium partial 16S ribosomal RNA". It matches the Rfam family "Bacterial small subunit ribosomal RNA", at positions 355 to 777 of the family's 1533-position model. Lineage: Bacteria; Pseudomonadati; Acidobacteriota. The record is from RNAcentral.
UGGGGAAUAUUGGACAAUGGGCGCAAGCCUGAUCCAGCCAUGCCGCGUGUGUGAAGAAGGCCUUUUGGUUGUAAAGCACUUUAAGCGAGGAGGAGGCUACUUGGAUUAAUACUCUAAGAUAGUGGACGUUACUCGCAGAAUAAGCACCGGCUAACUCUGUGCCAGCAGCCGCGGUAAUACAGAGGGUGCGAGCGUUAAUCGGAUUUACUGGGCGUAAAGCGUGCGUAGGCGGCUUCUUAAGUCGGAUGUGAAAUCCCUGAGCUUAACUUAGGAAUUGCAUUCGAUACUGGGAAGCUAGAGUAUGGGAGAGGAUGGUAGAAUUCCAGGUGUAGCGGUGAAAUGCGUAGAGAUCUGGAGGAAUACCGAUGGCGAAGGCAGCCAUCUGGCCUAAUACUGACGCUGAGGUACGAAAGCAUGGGGAGCAAACAGGA